CGCGCGCCUAUACACACAAAAGCAAAAACGUCCGUUUAUACAAAUAUACGGCGUUUCCGUCUUUUGUUGGCGGGGGCGGGUGCGUGUGUGUGGAUAACGGCUCACAUAACGUGUCGCGAUGGAUGACUUGGCUUCCUAUUUCGUUGAAGAACGCAGUAAAGUGCGAUAAGUGGUAUCAAUUGCAGAAUCAUUCAAUUACCGAAUCUUUGAACGCAAACGGCGCAUGGGAGAAG
RNAcentral lists this ribosomal RNA (233 nucleotides) under Leishmania aethiopica. Its description in RNAcentral is "partial 5.8S ribosomal RNA". The stretch from base 108 to 233 matches the Rfam family "5.8S ribosomal RNA", at positions 1 to 126 of the family's 154-position model. Rfam says of the family: 5.8S ribosomal RNA (5.8S rRNA) is a component of the large subunit of the eukaryotic ribosome. It is transcribed by RNA polymerase I as part of the 45S precursor that also contains 18S and 28S rRNA. Lineage: Eukaryota; Euglenozoa; Kinetoplastea; Trypanosomatida; Trypanosomatidae. The record is from RNAcentral.